GAGGAAUAAGCAUCGGCUAACUCCGUGCCAGCAGCCGCGGUAAUACGGGGGAUGCAAGCGUUAUCCGGAAUCAUUGGGCGUAAAGCGCCUGUAGGUUGUUUAAUAAGUCUGUUGUUAAAGACUAGGGCUCAACCCUAGGAAAGCAAUGGAAACUACUAGACUUGAGUAUGAUAGGGGUAGAGGGAAUUUCUAGUGUAGCGGUGAAAUGCGUAGAUAUUAGGAAGAACACCGGUGGCGAAGGCGCUCUACUGGAUCAUUACUGACACUCAGAGGCGAAAGCUAGGGUAGCAAAAGGGAUUAGAUACCCCUGUAGUCCUAGCCGUAAACGAUGGAUACUAGAUGUUGCGUUUAUUAUGCAGUAUCGUAGCUAACGCGUUAAGUAUCCCGCCUGGGGGGUACGCUCGCAAGGGUGAAACUCAAAGGAAUUGACGGGGGCCCGCACAAGCGGUGGAGCAUGUGGUUUAAUUCGAUGCAACGCGAAGAACCUUACCAAGGCUUGACAUACUACAAAUUUCUUUGAAAGAGGAAAGUGCCUUCGGGAAUGUAGAUACAGGUGGUGCAUGGCUGUCGUCAGCUCGUGUCGUGAGAUGUUGGGUUAAGUCCCGCAACGAGCGCAACCCUUAUUUUUAGUUGCUAAUUUAUUAGGUUUUCUAGAAAGACUGCCGGUGACAAACCGGAGGAAGGUGAGGAUGACGUCAAGUCAGCAUGCCCCUUAUGCCUUGGGCUACACACGUGCUACAAUGGUUAAGACAAAGAGUUGCGAGCUCGCGAGAGUCAGCUAAUCUCAUAAACUUAGCCUAAGUUCGGAUUGUAGGCUGCAACUCGCCUACGUGAAG
RNAcentral lists this ribosomal RNA (836 nucleotides) under Haptophyta environmental samples. RNAcentral describes it as "bacterial SSU rRNA". It matches the Rfam family "Bacterial small subunit ribosomal RNA", at positions 481 to 1325 of the family's 1533-position model. The record is from RNAcentral. Lineage: Eukaryota; Haptophyta.